RNAcentral lists this unclassified non-coding RNA (125 nucleotides) under soil metagenome. RNAcentral describes it as "partial internal transcribed spacer 1". The record is from RNAcentral.
GCGAGUAUAACUCUCUAAACCAUUGUGAACGAACGAACCCGUUGCUUCGGCGGACGGCUCUGCUGCCGCCGGAAGAACGCAAACUCUUGUUAUUAUUGUUUCUCUGAGUAGCUAUAUAAUAGUUA